This 411-nucleotide ribosomal RNA is filed under the name bacterium enrichment culture DGGE band Utube1. RNAcentral describes it as "bacterial SSU rRNA". It matches the Rfam family "Bacterial small subunit ribosomal RNA", at positions 54 to 514 of the family's 1533-position model. The record is from RNAcentral.
CAUGCAGUCGAGCGCCCCGCAAGGGGAGCGGCAGACGGGUGAGUAACGCGUGGGAACGUACCUUUUGCUACGGAAUAACUCAGGGAAACUUGUGCUAAUACCGUAUGUGCCCUUCGGGGGAAAGAUUUAUCGGCAAAGGAUCGGCCCGCGUUGGAUUAGCUAGUUGGUGAGGUAAAGGCUCACCAAGGCGACGAUCCAUAGCUGGUCUGAGAGGAUGAUCAGCCACACUGGGACUGAGACACGGCCCAGACUCCUACGGGAGGCAGCAGUGGGGAAUAUUGGACAAUGGGCGCAAGCCUGAUCCAGCCAUGCCGCGUGAGUGAUGAAGGCCCUAGGGUUGUAAAGCUCUUUCACCGGUGAAGAUAAUGACGGUAACCGGAGAAGAAGCCCCGGCUAACUUCGUGCCAGCAC